Molecule: ribosomal RNA, 1109 nt
Filed under: Limosilactobacillus fermentum
Lineage: Bacteria; Bacillati; Bacillota; Bacilli; Lactobacillales; Lactobacillaceae
Description: bacterial SSU rRNA
Rfam family: Bacterial small subunit ribosomal RNA
Source: RNAcentral
CUAAUACAUGCAGUCGAACGCGUUGGCCCAAUUGAUUGAUGGUGCUUGCACCUGAUUGAUUUUGGUCGCCAACGAGUGGCGGACGGGUGAGUAACACGUAGGUAACCUGCCCAGAAGCGGGGGACAACAUUUGGAAACAGAUGCUAAUACCGCAUAACAACGUUGUUCGCAUGAACAACGCUUAAAAGAUGGCUUCUCGCUAUCACUUCUGGAUGGACCUGCGGUGCAUUAGCUUGUUGGUGGGGUAACGGCCUACCAAGGCGAUGAUGCAUAGCCGAGUUGAGAGACUGAUCGGCCACAAUGGGACUGAGACACGGCCCAUACUCCUACGGGAGGCAGCAGUAGGGAAUCUUCCACAAUGGGCGCAAGCCUGAUGGAGCAACACCGCGUGAGUGAAGAAGGGUUUCGGCUCGUAAAGCUCUGUUGUUAAAGAAGAACACGUAUGAGAGUAACUGUUCAUACGUUGACGGUAUUUAACCAGAAAGUCACGGCUAACUACGUGCCAGCAGCCGCGGUAAUACGUAGGUGGCAAGCGUUAUCCGGAUUUAUUGGGCGUAAAGAGAGUGCAGGCGGUUUUCUAAGUCUGAUGUGAAAGCCUUCGGCUUAACCGGAGAAGUGCAUCGGAAACUGGAUAACUUGAGUGCAGAAGAGGGUAGUGGAACUCCAUGUGUAGCGGUGGAAUGCGUAGAUAUAUGGAAGAACACCAGUGGCGAAGGCGGCUACCUGGUCUGCAACUGACGCUGAGACUCGAAAGCAUGGGUAGCGAACAGGAUUAGAUACCCUGGUAGUCCAUGCCGUAAACGAUGAGUGCUAGGUGUUGGAGGGUUUCCGCCCUUCAGUGCCGGAGCUAACGCAUUAAGCACUCCGCCUGGGGAGUACGACCGCAAGGUUGAAACUCAAAGGAAUUGACGGGGGCCCGCACAAGCGGUGGAGCAUGUGGUUUAAUUCGAAGCUACGCGAAGAACCUUACCAGGUCUUGACAUCUUGCGCCACCCUAGAGAUAGGGCGUUUCCUUCGGGAACGCAAUGACAGGUGGUGCAUGGUCGUCGUCAGCUCGUGUCGUGAGAUGUUGGGUUAAGUCCCGCAACGAGCGCAACCCUUGUUACUAG